AUUUUUUAGUUAUUUUUAAAGAUAUUUUCUGCCCUAUGAUUAAUUUAAAUGGCCGCAGUAUUUUGACUGUGCUAAGGUAGCAUAAUAAUUAGUCUUUUAAUUGAGGACUUGAAUGAAUGGAUACAUGAGGGAUUAAUUUUAUUCAUUUUAAUAAUAUAACUUUAUUUUUGGGUAAUAAAGCUUAAUUUUAUUUUAGGGACGAGAAGACCCUGUAGAACUUUAUAAUUAUAGUAUUAAAUUUGUAUUUAGUAAGUUUUUUAUUUAUUUAAAUUAUUUAAUUGGGGUGAUUAAUAAAUUGAUAAUCUUUAUUUUUUUAAUUCAUUAAUUUAUGUUUUUUUUGAUCCUUAAUAAUUGUGAUUAAAAGAUUAGUUACCUCAGGGAUAACAGCGUAAUUUUAAUUGAAAGUUCUUAUUAAUAUUAAAGUUUGCGACCUCGAUGUUGAAUUAAGGAAAUUAUUGGUGUAGAAGCUUUUAUUAUAAGUCUGUUCGACUAUUAAAUCCUUACA
Molecule: ribosomal RNA, 505 nt
Filed under: Youngolidia lateralis
Lineage: Eukaryota; Metazoa; Arthropoda; Insecta; Hemiptera; Cicadellidae
Description: partial large subunit ribosomal RNA
Rfam family: Bacterial large subunit ribosomal RNA (bases 380-505)
Source: RNAcentral